This 21-nucleotide microRNA is filed under the name Drosophila ananassae. Its description in RNAcentral is "Dan-Novel-5_3p* (star (passenger))". The record is from RNAcentral. Lineage: Eukaryota; Metazoa; Arthropoda; Insecta; Diptera; Drosophilidae.
CCUCCCUUUGGCUUCUACUAC